GGAAUAGAUUCCCGGGUAGUCCCAGCUGUAAACUAUGCAAACUCGGUGAUGCAUUGGCUUGUGGCCAAUGCAGUGCCGCAGGGAAGCCGUUAAGUUUGCCGCCUGGGAAGUACGUACGCAAGUAUGAAACUUAAAGGAAUUGGCGGGGGAGCACCACAAGGGGUGAAGCCUGCGGUUCAAUUGGAGUCAACGCC
This 194-nucleotide ribosomal RNA is filed under the name uncultured Nitrososphaerota archaeon. RNAcentral describes it as "uncultured thaumarchaeote partial 16S ribosomal RNA". It matches the Rfam family "Archaeal small subunit ribosomal RNA", at positions 726 to 919 of the family's 1478-position model. Lineage: Archaea; Thermoproteati; Nitrososphaerota. The record is from RNAcentral.